RNAcentral lists this ribosomal RNA (614 nucleotides) under Troglocharinus kiesenwetteri andresi. RNAcentral describes it as "16S ribosomal RNA". The stretch from base 382 to 540 matches the Rfam family "Bacterial large subunit ribosomal RNA", at positions 2473 to 2632 of the family's 2925-position model. The record is from RNAcentral. Lineage: Eukaryota; Metazoa; Arthropoda; Insecta; Coleoptera; Leiodidae.
GUCUUAUUGAUUAUAAUUUUAAGUCUAAUCUGCCCAAUGAGUAAUUAAAUGGCUGCAGUAUUUUAACUGUACAAAGGUAGCAUAAUAAUUAGUUUCUUAAUUAGGAACUGGAAUGAAUGAUUGGACGAAAUAGUGACUGUCUUAGUUUAAAUUUUAGAAUUUUAUUUUUGAGUUAAAAAGCUUAAAUUUUUUUAAAAGACGAGAAGACCCUAUAGAAUUUUAUAUUAUUUGAAUAUUUUGUUAUUAGAAUUUUAAUAUAGAAUUUUUUAAUUAGUAUUUAGUUGGGGUGAUUGAAAAAUUUAAUAAACUUUUUUUAUUAUUAACAUUAAUGUAUGAUUAUAUGAUCCAGUUUUUCUGAUUAUAAGAUUAAAUUACCUUAGGGAUAACAGCGUAAUUUUUUUAGAGAGUUCUAAUCGAUAAAAGAGAUUGCGACCUCGAUGUUGGAUUAAAGUUUAUUUUUAAUGUAGGAGUUAAAAUAUUAGGUCUGUUCGACCUUUAAAAUUUUACAUGAUCUGAGUUUAAACCGGUGUGAGCCAGGUUGGAUUCUAUCUUUAAUUAAAUUAAAUAUUUUAGUACGAAAGGACCAAGUAUUUAUUAUAAUAAUUUUAUUAGAA